AUGGCGGCCACCACGGUGGCGGGUUUGGCGACGGUGGCCCAGCUGGCUUUGUAUGUCCACGGGCUUGUCACGAAGAUUACCACGGCGGCGGACACGGCCCGGCAGAACAAGCUGGAGUGCCAGAACCUGGCGCGCCGCGUAUCCGUGAUCGGCGACCUGCUGGUGCAGCUGCAGGACCCGGGGGUGGCGCAACCGCUGGCCGGGCUGGGCGACACGCUCCAGGAGGCGCACGAUCUCGUCGUUGCUUGCCAGAAAUGGAGCGUGCGCCGGAAGUUCUUGUACGCCGACGACCAGGCAGAGAGGUUCAGGGAAGUCAACCGCAGGAUCGACUCCCACCUCAUCCUUAUCCCCUUGCUCAGCCACAUCUCCAUUGCCCGCCGCCUCGACCAGGUCGUUCCUCCGAAUCCUACCAGCGUUCUUCUACCGGCGGCACCACCAACAAUGGUUGCUGCAUCUGCUAUGGCGUCAGGCUCCGGCUCGCGCUCUUUGCAGCUGCAGGAGUCUGCGACGGUCCAGUAUGUGAGCUCAACGUAUGUACCCGUGGAGUUCGCGUCGGCGGAGAUCGCGUUCUUGACCGGAAACUUCGGCCAUGUGCUCACCGAGGACGGCUCCGCGACGGUGUACAAAGGUCGUCUUCACGACGGCCAGGAGGUGGCCGUCAAGAGCCUGAAGAAUCACGGGCCGCAACGCCACGAACAAGAGGGCGCGUUCGUGGCGGAGCUCGAGACCAUCUGCCACCUCCGUCACGACCACAUCGUGCCCCUUGUGGGCUGGUGCGCGGAGGACGACGACCGCAUGUUCGUCUACCAGUACCAGCACACGAGCAACGGCACGCUCAGGGACCACCUGAUGCAGGGCGGAAGCCGCGGCUCCGUGAUACGAUCCUAA
RNAcentral lists this ribosomal RNA (888 nucleotides) under Triticum aestivum (bread wheat). RNAcentral's name for it is "partial small subunit ribosomal RNA". The record is from RNAcentral. Lineage: Eukaryota; Viridiplantae; Streptophyta; Magnoliopsida; Poales; Poaceae.